AUGGAUAUACAGUAUAUUCUAAACCCGUACUCUUGCAUUGCCUAUAUCUGCAGCUACAUCAGCAGGGCCGAGCACGGUUUAAGCGAAUACCUUAAGACAAUGAUUGAGAACUCAAAUCAUGAAAAUCUCAAUGAAAGUGACGAGAUGAAACAAGUGAUGCAGGCGUACUCCAAAAAAAGAGAGGUCAGUGCUCAAGAGUGCGUCGCUCGUGCAUGUAGUCUUAACAUGAAACGGUGUUCCCGCAGCGUGAUAUUUGUACAGACUGAUGACAACCCGCUGAAAAUAAGUUAUCCCAUGUCGCACCUGGAGAACAAAACACCAGACUCGGUUAAUGUGUGGAUGACCGGCUUACCUGACAAGUACAAAUCGAGACCAGAAUCGCCAGAGUUUGAGUCAAUGUGUUUGGCUGAUUUCGCUGCCACUUGUAGAAUUGUCUAUGGCAAACAGGCCCAAGGUGCAAAAGCUAUUCCCCUGCUCAAUGAAAUGGGAUUCGUUCAGAAGAGAACAAAGGAUAAGCCCGCUGUCAUCAAGUAUUACCAUGUCUCGCUGGAAAAGAAACCUGAGCAAUUUCACGGCACAUUGCUAAAGCUUUACCUGCCUUAUCGCUCAGAGACACAGCUCAAGUCCAUAAACUUCCCCACUUACAAGUCCUUCCAUGACCAUGCAGGCGUUCAGCUACCUGGUUCAGAGUACGCCGAGCUAGUGUCUGACAUUGUGAAACGAAACCGAGAGAAAUGUGAGAAACACAGGGAGGACAUCGAUAGUGCCAUCGCAGAAUACAAACAGAAUGGUUGCAUAAGAAACGAAUGGUGUAAUCUGGCUCCUGAAUGCGAACUGCAAAGGUUAGAGUGCAUUGAAGAACUUCACGCGAGACCAGCCGAUGAGGAUAACGUCCAAGAGAAUGUGCCAGACUAUAACCUUAGGUCAGAAAAUAGACCAGAAGCUGCCAUCAUGAGUGAAGCCCCUGAGAUGGAUCCGACAGUGGUGAAACAAAUGUAUCGAAGCUUAAACCAAAAGCAGGCGUCUGUUUUCUAUGCCAUCAGAGACUGGUGC
This 1053-nucleotide long non-coding RNA is filed under the name Gadus morhua (Atlantic cod). RNAcentral's name for it is "lncRNA (ENSGMOG00000027749.1)". Lineage: Eukaryota; Metazoa; Chordata; Actinopteri; Gadiformes; Gadidae. The record is from RNAcentral.